UCCAAGAACUAAAACUUCUCCCUUGAUUCUCUUGUAUUUCUCAAAUAUCUAUUUCAAUAUAUUUUCAUCAAAAUAUUUUCAUCAUCCAGUGCUCAUUCCUGAGCAACAAGGAUUUGAGGAAAAAAAUUCAUUUCUGAUAUCGAAUUGUUGACAGAACGAUCCUAAUUCUUUUGCACAUAGUUUUCUUUCUUUCUUUAAUUGUUUUUGAAGUUUUAAAUCUUGACAGAUUUUUAGUCCUUCCUUUUGGAUAAAACUUAUGAGUUCUCCGUAUGCAAGAUUUUCAUAAGGAGCUCUAAUUCUUAAUGGAGUGCUCUAAUUCCUAUGUUUUUAUGUACAUAUCAGACUUCUGUUAAAAGGAGAUGUUGUGAUUCUAUUUCUCCUUUGUUAGUUUGCCAAUUAUUACCAGUUUUUGUUGUAUUUAUUGACUGAGUAUCAUAAUGAUU
This is a long non-coding RNA of Theobroma cacao (cacao), 443 nucleotides long. RefSeq lists it as uncharacterized. The record is from RefSeq and is a predicted model, not a curated record. NCBI's taxonomy places the organism in Eukaryota, Viridiplantae, Streptophyta, Magnoliopsida, Malvales, Malvaceae.